GACGAACGCUGGCGGCGUGCUUAACACAUGCAAGUCGAACGGAAAGGCCCUGCUUUUGUGGGGUUCUCGAGUGGCGAACGGGUGAGUAACACGUGAGUAACCUGCCCUUGUCUUUGGGAUAACUUCAGGAAACUGGGGCUAAUACCGGAUAUGAGCUCCUGCUGCAUGGUGGGGGUUGGAAAGUUUCGGCGGUUGGGUAUGGACUCGCGGCUUAUCCGCUUGUUGGUGGGGUAGUGGCUUACCAAGGCUUUGACGGGUAGCCGGCCUGAGAGGGUUACCGGCGACAUUGGGACUGAGAUAGGGCCCAGAAUCCUACGGGAGGCAGUAGUGGGGAAUAUUGCACAAUGGGCGGAAGCCUGAUGCAGCAACCCCGCGUGCGUAAUGACGGCCUUCGGGUUGUAAACCGCUUUCGCCUGUGACGAACCGUUAGUGACGGUAAUGGGUAAGGAAGCCCCGGCUAACUACGUG
Molecule: ribosomal RNA, 468 nt
Filed under: uncultured bacterium
Lineage: Bacteria
Description: partial 16S ribosomal RNA
Rfam family: Bacterial small subunit ribosomal RNA
Source: RNAcentral